CCCAGAGCCGCCUGCCCUGUAGUUCCCUGAAGUAUUCACGGUUUUCGAGACGUGACCGUGAGUUGGUUGUGCUUUCUGGAUUACUGAAAUGUUUGUUUGCUUCAAGUGGAAUUAUUUAAAAGAUUAUGCUACCACACCAAUCACAGAGCAGAUGGAGGUGAUGGAGCCCUGAGACUGAGAUAACUGGAUUCCUGGGUGACCGCAUGGAGGACAAUUGCCCUGACAA
Balaenoptera ricei (Rice's whale) is the source of this 226-nucleotide long non-coding RNA. RefSeq lists it as uncharacterized. The transcript is spliced from 3 exons. NCBI's taxonomy places the organism in Eukaryota, Metazoa, Chordata, Mammalia, Artiodactyla, Balaenopteridae. The record is from RefSeq and is a predicted model, not a curated record.